UACAGAGGUCCCAAGCGUUGUUCGGAUUCAUUGGGCGUAAAGGGUGCGUAGGUGGCGCCGUAAGUCGGGUGUGAAAUUUCGGAGCUUAACUCCGAAACUGCAUUCGAUACUGGCGUGCUUGAGGACUGGAGAGGAGACUGGAAUUCAUGGUGUAGCAGUGAAAUGCGUAGAUAUUGGGAAGAACACCGGUGGCGAAGGCGGCGACCUGGUCCGUGACUGACGCUGAGGCGCGAAAGCGUGGGGAGCAAACAGG
Molecule: ribosomal RNA, 253 nt
Filed under: uncultured bacterium
Lineage: Bacteria
Description: partial 16S ribosomal RNA
Rfam family: Bacterial small subunit ribosomal RNA
Source: RNAcentral